Gopherus evgoodei (Goodes thornscrub tortoise) is the source of this 4026-nucleotide RNA transcript. It is a transcript of the gene named translation machinery associated 16 homolog, with no coding region annotated. The transcript is spliced from 8 exons. Lineage: Eukaryota; Metazoa; Chordata; Testudines; Testudinidae. The record is from RefSeq and is a predicted model, not a curated record.
UUUUGCCGCGGUGCCCCCGGUACGUGUCGCCGUUGCCUGCCUCUGCCGCUCGCUUGGUGGGCGGACGCGUGGGACUCGCUAUGCCAAAAGUACCAAAGGGCAGAGGAGGAGGGCAAGAGAAAAAAGUCAUCCAUCCUUACAGCAGAAAGGCUUCUCAGCUUAUGAGAGAAGCACACAAACAGGAAAAAAAGGAAAAGUUGAAGAAUGAAAAAGCCUUGCGUCUGAGCAUUGUAGGAGAAAAAUUGCAAUGGUUUCAAAGUCACCUUGAUCCCAGCAAAGCAGACUACACAAAGAGAGAAGCCUGUGAACUAAUUGAAAAAUAUUUGCAUCGAUUCAGUGAUGAACUGGAACAGAUUGAGUUACGUAACAGCAUUAAAGGCAGACAGGGAAGGCAGCACAAUUCCAGGGAGAUGAUCAUCAAACAGACCAUAGAGCAUGAAAGACAACUCUAUGAAGGAUAUGGGAUAGACAUUCCUGACAUUGUGAAUGGCAAACAUCUUAAAAUUUUCAGAGAAUGGGAUGGCGAUCUGAAGAAACUGCCAAACAUUAAAAUGAGAAAAGUCGCUACUAAAGAUGCUGUUUGCAGUAGGACAGAGGUGGCAAAUGGGGAAGCUGAAGCGAAAUUAGAUGCAGCAAAAGCCACAGACUAAUGAGCACCAGCCGAUACAUAAGGUGAAGCAGCUGAAAGGGACUGCCAGGAACCUAUUUGAACUAUCACUGGAAGCAAGAAUAAAGCGGAAAAACACCUGCCACGCUGUCACAGUUGUGUGGAAUGUUUUCAGGGGCAUAGAUUUGCUGGUGUGGAAACUCAAGGUAAGUUUACUUUAUAGAAUCCAGAAUUCAUUUUUUUCUUGGGUUUAGUGGAUAUCAUGUGCGAUUUAGGGCUGCUUGCAUUCCUCAUGUAAUAUAUAAAAAAAGACUUUCUUGGGCUGAAUGGUAUGACCAAAACCUCCUUGUUGCGCUCAAGGCUAAGUUUGAAGGAUCUGUAGUGUUAAGCAUGUCUCUAGGAUGUGGGGUUUGAUUUGUCCUCUGUGUGAGACUCAGCCGGAGGACCAGCCUUCACCAGACUCCUCUGUUACUACUGUUAGAUGUAAUCCGAAACGAAACCUCUUGCUGUCAGGAUUCCCUAAUUACAGGUAUCACUCCUUCCCUUAUGAUUGAAAUGGGAGGCAGUGUUAGGUACUACACUAGAAGUUAGUACCUGUAGGGCACAUUUGGCAUAGUUUGAAACUGUUGCGCCUCUCUUUUCCGGUGAUUGAUACAUCAUGCAAUUCUAUAUCAGUUCUGUUAGACCCCCUCCUAGCCUAUUCCUAGCAAAUUUCAUUCAGUUACUUAUCAGCUUUUUUUUGUAUGUAGUCUGGGUAGGAGAUUUCCUGUCAUUGACAGUGAACUACAUUGCAUAACAGUAAGUUUCUGUUAUUAACUAAAACAACCAAAAACAAAAAACUCCCUUCUUGCCAGACAAAAGGAACAUGCACUGUUAUGGUUUGAACUAAACUGGAUGAGUCAGUAAUAAAUAAUUAAUCACUCAGUUUCUUAAACUCAAAUGACACAAUGCUAUAAGGAAGUCACCUGGAGCAAUUAGAGAGACGUGGAAGAUGUUUGAGUGACCUUUCACCCUGUGAUCUGCAUUCAUGGCCAUCCAGCAGUCUGGGAGCUAGUGCACAUCUCAUGUGGCUGGGAGCACAGCCAGCACCUGGGCUCUCAAUCUGCCGGGAACUGUGGCACCUCCUCUCAGUGCUGGGGACCAGGAGGAACCCUACAGCCAGCAAGGAGGAGAGGUGAGUAGUGAGGGGAGGGAGGUAGGGGCUCCGGAGGGAGCAGGGCUGGCACCCAUGUCCUACUCUGCCUGCCAGGCUCUCCUCUCAGUGCCACAGGAAGCUGUGAGCCAGCUGAGAGGGGGAGCUGUUCAUGGUGCCAUACCAGGGCAUGUGGAGCCAGCUGUGGAGAGGCUAGAUCCUGAGGCUGGCAGCAGCAUCCAAGGCUGGCAGUGUGAAAAUGAGCCCCCAGGAUUCCCAUCCAGUAGAGAGCGGUGGUGGGGGGAGAGAGCCUAUGCUGCCGGGACAUGGGUGCCCUGUCUGUGCACUCCUCCCCACUCCAGGAUCUAAUGGCAACUCCCUCCCAGGGACUUGGGGUAGGGGUUGGGAGUAGGGAUGGCUUUGAGGCAGUGUGUGGAAGACUCUAAAAUCCUUUCCCCAGUGAAGCCUUGAGCUAGCAGGGAGGGAUAAGGGGAAGCAAGGUGCACCUGGGAAGGAACAGUCUGGGGAGAGGGGGUGUCCCCUCAAGGGCUACCUUUCACAUCUUUGCUCAGUUAACCCAUCAUUCCCUAAGGCUGAGCAUUGUCAUUCAUCUGUGCUAAAGAUUUUAUUGCCUCCUCUACACACCCUGCAUUGAAUUAACUAGAGAUGUGAUAAUAACUGAUUUAGUUAAACUGGUGCAAUAUGAUAAAUAAUUGCUCUUAACUCUAUUUAAAUCUGUCUCAUGUGCUUAGCUUCCCUUGGUAAACCUCCAAACAAAACCUGAACUGAUCUCAAUGAUCUGAAUCACCUAUGUCCACAGAGCUGGUCUGGGUUUUUUUGGUUUGUUUGUUUUUUAAACCAAUUUAACUUACUUCCAUAUGUAGACAAGCUUUGUUUCACUUUGGCAAUAAAAUCACUGCCAAAAGUCCUUUUCUUUCACAUUUUCUUUUAAUGGGAUGCAUAAAAGAGGGGCGUAAGCCUUAUUCUUCCUGGAAUGACUUGAAAGGCUAGUUUGUCAUUGUAAAAGAUGUGGUGUCCUUUAAUAGCACUGUGUUAAACAUUUUUUUAAAAAUGUAUGCUAUUUGGAGUCAUGGAGAAUAUUAGAUUAGCUGUCUGAGUUCUUCCAUGCACAAUUCCAUUAAAACAAAAGGCACUAUAUCAAGCAAAUGUACAAUCUGUAAAGUUGACUUGACAAAAAAAGAGCAGUCUUGAAAUAAUUUGUAAUACUCACUGCUCACAUCUUAUGCAUUUUAAAAUAAAAGCAAAAUGAGAUAUAGAAAUCAAUUUUUUAAUUGUAAUCUCAUGUACCCUGUGUUCCUUUUUGCUAUCAUGUCGACUUCAGCUUUUUAGACUAUUAUGUAGGUUACAUAGGGAAUCAGAAACUUCUCCAGCUAAUGAAGAGAAAAAUACUUUUUAUAUUGAUUGUAACCAGAAAAAUUACUAUAAAAAUGGCAAGAUCUUACAUAAGGAACAGAUAGGAUGACUGUCUGAUUCAUGCUGGCAAACGGAAAUUGUUAUCACGUGUCAGUACAGAAAAAUGAGCUGGAUUUUAUUCUGUCUUGCACAUCAUCAAUUUGUCGAGUAAGUUUUGACUUCAGAAUCUUUAUAUGGUAAUGAUGGAAGAGAGAAAUUCAUGUUGACUUUAAAUUUCUAGGUUGAGAAUGUUAUUGAGAGAGAAAAUGAAUAUGGAAUCCCUUGAUGUCAUUUUUAUAGUAAUCUUACUGACAAUUACUGUGCUUUACAGCCAGCUGGUGUGUUUUACUGGACUGAAGAGCCUAUUUCUUCUCUGAAGGCUAUAAGGAUGCUUUGGUGUUCUGUUUCACUUACAUUCUCUUUUAAACGAAAAUAUAUAAAGUGACUGCCAUUAACAUGAAAAUGUCUAAUUACUCCAGUGUUUUUCUAUGUUUAGACAUAGAUUGCUUUAAUAUAGGAAAUAUCGUGGAAAUGUUACUUGGAGAAAUGUUAACCACUGUAGAUGGGAGGUGCUCUGUGUUUAAAAGAGCAUUAUAAAGUUUAGUUAUAAUUAGAAAAUUCAGAAGUUGUUCUCUUUCAGAAUGCUGUGAGCUGAUUUUCCUCCCACCGUAAUGUCUGAGAUUUUUUUUUAUUUAGCUUUAUGUAAUUGAUUGUAAUGGUGUUUAACUGCAAAGUUUUAAGUGUUACAAUGCGUCUUUGUUUUAGCUAAAGGGACUCAAAACAAGUUGUGUACAAAACUUCAAACUAGCAUAAGGGCUGGUCUUUAAAUUAAUAUAGCUCGAAUAAGAUAGAAUGAGGCAUUGCUUUAAGUUCA